RNAcentral lists this transfer RNA (69 nucleotides) under Marmota monax (woodchuck). RNAcentral describes it as "tRNA.Undet". Lineage: Eukaryota; Metazoa; Chordata; Mammalia; Rodentia; Sciuridae. The record is from RNAcentral.
UGGGUUGUGGCUCAGUGGUAGAGCUUCACCUAUCACAUUCAAGUCCCUGGGUUCAAUCCUCAGCACCAA